AUCUACCCUUGGUCAGGUUGAAGUUCAGGUAACACUGAAUGGAGGACCGAACCGACUUACGUUGAAAAGUGAGCGGAUGAACUGAGGGUAGCGGAGAAAUUCCAAUCGAACCUGGAGAUAGCUGGUUCUCUCCGAAAUAGCUUUAGGGCUAGCCUCAAGUGAUGAUUAUUGGAGGUAGAGCACUGUUUGGACGAGGGGCCCCUCUCGGGUUACCGAAUUCAGACAAACUCCGAAUGCCAAUUAAUUUAACUUGGGAGUCAGAACAUGGGUGAUAAGGUCCGUGUUCGAAAGGGAAACAGCCCAGACCACCAGCUAAGGUCCCAAAAUAUAUGUUAAGUGGAAAAGGAUGUGGCGUUGCCCAGACAACUAGGAUGUUGGCUUAGAAGCAGCCAUCAUUUAAAGAGUGCGUAAUAGCUCACUAGUCGAGUGACACUGCGCCGAAAAUGUACCGGGGCUAAACAUAUUACCGAAGCUGUGGAUUGUCCUUUGGACAAUGGUAGGAGAGCGUUCUAAGGGCGUUGAAGCAUGAUCGUAAGGACAUGUGGAGCGCUUAGAAGUGAGAAUGCCGGUGUGAGUAGCGAAAGACGGGUGAGAAUCCCGUCCACCGAUUGACUAAGGUUUCCAGAGGAAGGCUCGUCCGCUCUGGGUUAGUCGGGUCCUAAGCUGAGGCCGACAGGCGUAGGCGAUGGAUAACAGGUUGAUAUUCCUGUACCACCUAUAAUCGUUUUAAUCGAUGGGGGGACGCAGUAGGAUAGGCGAAGCGUGCGAUUGGAUUGCACGUCUAAGCAGUAAGGCUGAGUAUUAGGCAAAUCCGGUACUCGUUAAGGCUGAGCUGUGAUGGGGAGAAGACAUUGUGUCUUCGAGUCGUUGAUUUCACACUGCCGAGAAAAGCCUCUAGAUAGAAAAUAGGUGCCCGUACCGCAAACCGACACAGGUAGUCAAGAUGAGAAUUCUAAGGUGAGCGAGCGAACUCUCGUUAAGGAACUCGGCAAAAUGACCCCGUAACUUCGGGAGAAGGGGUGCUCUUUAGGGUUAACGCCCAGAAGAGCCGCAGUGAAUAGGCCCAAGCGACUGUUUAUCAAAAACACAGGUCUCUGCUAAACCGUAAGGUGAUGUAUAGGGGCUGACGCCUGCCCGGUGCUGGAAGGUUAAGAGGAGUGGUUAGCUUCUGCGAAGCUACGAAUCGAAGCCCCAGUAAACGGCGGCCGUAACUAUAACGGUCCUAAGGUAGCGAAAUUCCUUGUCGGGUAAGUUCCGACCCGCACGAAAGGCGUAACGAUUUGGGCACUGUCUCAACGAGAGACUCGGUGAAAUCAUAGUACCUGUGAAGAUGCAGGUUACCCGCGACAGGACGGAAAGACCCCGUGGAGCUUUACUGUAGCCUGAUAUUGAAAUUCGGCACAGCUUGUACAGGAUAGGUAGGAGCCUUUGAAACGUGAGCGCUAGCUUACGUGGAGGCGCUGGUGGGAUACUACCCUAGCUGUGUUGGCUUUCUAACCCGCACCACUUAUCGUGGUGGGAGACAGUGUCAGGCGGGCAGUUUGACUGGGGCGGUCGCCUCCUAAAAGGUAACGGAGGCGCUCAAAGGUUCCCUCAGAAUGGUUGGAAAUCAUUCAUAGAGUGUAAAGGCAUAAGGGAGCUUGACUGCGAGACCUACAAGUCGAG
RNAcentral lists this ribosomal RNA (1665 nucleotides) under Staphylococcus aureus. RNAcentral's name for it is "partial 23S ribosomal RNA". It matches the Rfam family "Bacterial large subunit ribosomal RNA", at positions 728 to 2393 of the family's 2925-position model. The record is from RNAcentral. Lineage: Bacteria; Bacillati; Bacillota; Bacilli; Caryophanales; Staphylococcaceae.